Molecule: non-coding RNA, 75 nt
Organism: Podarcis lilfordi (Lilford's wall lizard)
Lineage: Eukaryota; Metazoa; Chordata; Lepidosauria; Squamata; Lacertidae
Source: the annotation of a GenBank genome assembly
ACCUUCUAUGGCGCAAUGAGUCAGUGUGUCUGGCUGUUUACCAGAAGUUUGGUGGUUCAAGCCCAUUCAGGGAUG